CUCUUCUUUUGUCCCUCUUCCAACUUUGGUCUUUACACAGCCAAUGUGGAACUUCUUUCUUCCUAAAGUUCUCAUCUAUGCUUCCUUGCACAAGACUGAGGGCAUCAGUUGGGGAAUUCCAAGCCAGAGUUGCAGCCUGCUGGCUCUGUCAAGGAGGAGGGAGGCAAGAGGGAUGAGCUCCUGAAACCUCCCUGCUGCUGUCCUUCCUCAGCUGCAAAGGGGUCCUGGUGAGCUCCUCAGAGACAGCGUUGCUGGGUCACCAGAAGGCCACCAGCCUUAAUGACUGUAUUCAGUCUCAGGAAGGCUGCUUAUGAAACACACCUAGGAGUGUGGCUAAGACUUUUUUCCCUGAUUGCAAAGGUAUCCUGCUACCAGUGCUGCUGGAGAGCAGACAAUGCAGGAGUUACAGGGAUCUGGGGGGAAGCUCUGCAGCAACUGAAAACAGUCUGGGAAAAAAGAAGAAUUGCUCUCUUGGGAGCCUCAGAAGAAAGCUGCAAAGUGACAAAAAUUUGUUCUCUGCUGCGUGGAAAAUGCUGGGUCUUACUUAUUCUGCUGAGGUCACCAUGGAGUCUUGGUGGUGCCCAGCUGCACUCAUCAUGCG
Molecule: long non-coding RNA, 601 nt
Organism: Pezoporus flaviventris
Lineage: Eukaryota; Metazoa; Chordata; Aves; Psittaciformes; Psittacidae
Exons: 4
Source: RefSeq, a predicted model, not a curated record